CCAGAGGUAUGAGGAGAAAAAGGAGCAGGUAAAAAAAGAACUGCAGAGUGCAGUUGCAGUUAGCCUAACAGCUGAUAUGUGGACAUCCAUCAACAUGGAGGCUUACCUGGCUGUGACCUGUCACUAUGUCGACAGUGAGAACCAUACACUGUCUACAUCAAUGUUGGGAGUGGAACACUUCCCUCAGCAGCACACUGCUGAAAAUAUGGCCCAAGGAAAAAAAAAAUAAUGGAGGAGUGGGCCAUAGAAAAGAAAGUGACAUGUCUGGUCACAGAUGCGGCUCCAAACAUGAUUGCAUGUGUCAGAAAGCUCCAAAUCAGGCACACGAUUUGCAUAGCGCAUUCUUUAAAUGUAACCGUUCGAAAAUCAUGUGACCAAAUUGAGACACUCACUGAAAUCCGAAAUAAAGCAAGGCAGAUUGUAACAUACUUUAGAUCCAGUACUACAGCCAAUGAGAAGCUGGCACAAGUCCAGCUACAGAUGGGAGGGCCAGUGAAGAAAUGAAUGAAUGAGGUAUCAACUAGAUGGAAGAGCACGUAUUUAAUGCUGGAACACAUGAUGGAACAGAAGGAGUCGGUGUUGGUAUCCCUGGCCUCUUUAAAAAAUGACAGACCUCAGCUAACUUCAGAGGAUUAUAAAAUCAUAGAGGACACACUCCGUGUGCUUGCUCCAUUUAAUCAAGCGACAGUGGAGCUGUCUGAGGAAAAAAAGAGUCUCUGAAUCAAAAGUAAUCCCAAUGCUUAAAAUGUUGCACCACUCACUGCAACGCAACGCAUUAACUGUAACCACCGAAAGCGCAAUCAAUCUCGUGGAAAACCUUAAAAGAAGAAUACUAGAAACACUGUGCAACCUGGAGUCAUUAAGUGUAAUGACAAUACCAACACUGCUGGACCCUCGGUUCAAGACGAUGGGAUUCUUAAGUGCGUCAAAAACCAAUGAUGCAGUGAAAAGACUGAAAUCGGAGUGUGCGGCAGAAAUGAGAAAAACGCUAUACCGACGCAAAUGGAAGAUGCCAAAGCUGGACCAUCAACUCAACCGUCUGCUUCCAGUUCAGAUGACAACCUGUGGCAGCAGCUGGACAUGGAAGUUAAGGAGAGCAAGGCCAAUUCAAAUUUCACCACUGAUGCCAUUAUCGAGGUACAACGAUACAUCUCUGAGCUGACCUAACAGCCAUCCAGUCCUUCGCCAAGGCAGAAGAAAAGGCCGAGUGGAAGCGAGCUGGUUGUAACAAAAAGGACGAGGUUUGGUAUGGUCCAACUGGUAAGCCACAUCUUCCCCCAAAAAAUAAUAUUUUUUUUCUAGAUUAUGAAAAUUUGACACAUGGUCGAGACCAUGUGCCAAAAAUGAGGGAUGCAGGUAGUAUCUCAAGACAUUGGUACACUAAGGGCUUAACUAGCUUAACUAAUUACUCCAAAAAAUUUUGUGAACGCUGCAUGAUUUGCAAAAUAAAUAAGGUUAGUAGGGGUAUUAAAACUCCUUAAAGUGCCCAACCAACGGCUGAUUGACCAUUUCAGCAUCUCCAGACUGAUUUCAUUGAUAUGUUUUCCAAAUGUAUUGAAGCAUUCCCAACUGAGGUUGGGACAUUAAAAACAGCAUGCUAGUGCAGUAGCAAAGGCACUUAUAACUGACAUAAUCCAAAAGUGGAGGAUCCCUGAAAGAAUUGGCAAUGACAAUGGUACUCCAUUUGUCAACAAAGCAUUACAGCAGGUCGUGAGUAUGUGAUUUAUGAAUUUAAAACAACAAAUUGAUUUAAAACAAUUAAUAGUAUAUAUGAUAAUAGUGUAUAUGAGAACUAAAAAUAAGGGAAGAACAAACCUAAGCCCUUUUGAGAUCCUAUUUGGCAGGCCUCCAAAUUUAGGAAUUGGGUCCAGAGAAACUCCAAGGCCACUCACGGAUGAGCGUGAGUGAAAUGUUAAGUUAUUGCGAAACCUGUCCUGUGUUUUGUGUGAAGUUCACAAGCAGGUGAAAAACUUCCUUCCAGGACCAACAAGUACCUAUCUACAUGAUCUGAAAACCAGGCGACUGAGUGAUGGUGAGAGAGUUCGGGAGAAAAAGCUGGAAAGCCAAGAGGUGGCUAGAUCCGUUCCAAGUGCUCCUAACGACACACACCGUCGUCAAGGUUGCUGAAAGAGCCACGUGGAUCCACGCUAGCCAUUGUAGAAGAGUACCUGAAUCAACUGAAACCAGCCCUGACACACACACACAGAACAAGAUUAAAGGGGCAAUGUCAGCUUGACCUUUUGCUGAUAAUCACACAAAAACAAGAGAGUUUUUGCACAAAAGUCACCUAAACGUGUUGAGCCAGGAGAGGGGUUCCUGAUAAAAGAAGAGGACGUCAUCGAGCCAACUGACGUUGGAAGGUGUGAAAUAGCUGGCUGAUCGAACUGAAAAAAAACAAACAAAAAAAAAACUUUGAACACUGAGUAAUAGAUUACAUCUUGAAUCAAAAUCCAGAAGAUUUAAUGAGACAGAUUUUCACCUCAGUAACUAGUGAAAGAGUCGACUGUGAGCUUGUGUGUGAUUUUUAUCUGAUUAAACAGGAUCAGCGAAGUGACAUUUGGAACUUGUGGAAGAUCCAGAGACUGAGAGUGAAACUUGGGGAUAACACCUGUGUUGCAGAAAAUUGUUGUAGACUAGAUAAUCUAUAGAGGAAGGGUGUUUCUAAGCCUCGGUGAGGUGGGACGAGUGCUGAUUGGGCGUGCCCGCACUCCGAGCACCAACACCAACAUGCCUAUUAUUGACACAUGGUGUAUUGCAUGUUAGCAUGUCUAAGAUUGGAUGUGGCUUAGAUAAGUUAAAUUGGGAAAAAGUUAGCUCAAUUCUUAAACAGGUGUUCGAGAAUUAGGUAAUUACUGUUUAUGAAAAGAACUAAAGUGUUAAAUAAUUAAUGUAAAUAGUUUUUAUUUACCUAUUGAGUUUCUUUUGA
This is a long non-coding RNA of Trichomycterus rosablanca, 2926 nucleotides long. RefSeq lists it as uncharacterized. The transcript is spliced from 3 exons. The record is from RefSeq and is a predicted model, not a curated record. NCBI's taxonomy places the organism in Eukaryota, Metazoa, Chordata, Actinopteri, Siluriformes, Trichomycteridae.